RNAcentral lists this ribosomal RNA (253 nucleotides) under uncultured bacterium. Its description in RNAcentral is "partial 16S ribosomal RNA". It matches the Rfam family "Bacterial small subunit ribosomal RNA", at positions 524 to 776 of the family's 1533-position model. The record is from RNAcentral.
UACGAAGGGGGCUAGCGUUGCUCGGAAUCACUGGGCGUAAAGGGUGCGUAGGCGGGUCUUUAAGUCCGGGGUGAAAUCCUGGAGCUCAACUCCAGAACUGCCUUUGAUACUGAAGAUCUUGAGUUCGGGAGAGGUGAGUGGAACUGCGAGUGUAGAGGUGAAAUUCGUAGAUAUCUGGAGGAACACCGGUGGCGAAGGCGGCAUCCUGGACCAACACUGACACUGAGGAGCGAAAGCCAGGGGAGCAAACGGG